This is an RNA transcript of Drosophila miranda, 15153 nucleotides long. RefSeq lists it as uncharacterized. The record is from RefSeq and is a predicted model, not a curated record. Lineage: Eukaryota; Metazoa; Arthropoda; Insecta; Diptera; Drosophilidae. The transcript is spliced from 2 exons.
GUUAAAACAAACAAAAUACCUAUUUAAAUAUUUUAAAAAACGUAUGCAUAGGGAACUACGCAGACAUAGUAGGGACCCGAAAGUACUUCGCGAUCCUCCAAGUCAUUCGAUACAAGAUUGUCGGAAAUGCCGAUACGGCAUUGGAAUCAUACAACAUUCCUCUGAAUUGGAACGCUAUUUCCAAAUGUUUGACAAGAGAGACCUGAGUACGUUAGAGUACCAGAUGACUAUGCUGGUGCAAGGAAAUCAACAGUCAGUGGAAGAUUAUCACCAAGUUGUUUAUUAGCAAAUGUCACUGAUUCUAAAUAAAAUAGGUUGCAUGGAAUUAGGAAGAGAAGCAGAACAAUUAAUGACCAAAUUAUACCGCGAUAAAUCAUUAGAUACUUUUGUCAGAGAACUACGAGGAGAUCUUCCUCGAUUCCUGGGUAUGAAAGAACCAGUAGACCUCCCAUCAGCUCUACAUCUUUGUUUAAAAAUAGAAAACCAGAACUAUCGUUCUAAUUAUGCUAACGCCAAAACACCCACUAUUAGAUUUAGGCGAUCAAACCAAAAACCAAUUCUAGCACCCCGAUCAAAUAUCAAUUAUAACAACUUUAGGCAACCUCCUCAGUACUACCAAUAUAAUCAGUACAAACAUUCUAUUCCCCCCCGACAAAACUAUGAUUACCAAACACCACAAGUUACACAGAGUUAUCCCCGUCAACAAUUCCCUCUGAAUAACAUACUAGAAACGUCAAUUACAUGAAUCGUCCGCAUUUCCAAGCAGGAAACGACCCCCAACAACUCAAAAUGUAAAAAUUUGUAGGAUUUAUUAUUUCCAAUAGAGGCAUAGAAACCAAUCCUGCAAAGGUAGAAGCCAUUUCCAAGUAUCCUUGUCCGAAAAUAUUAAAGGAUCUUAGAUCCUUCCUAGGAUUGUCCUGUUACUAUAGAAGAUUCAUAAAGGAUUAUGCCAUGCUAUCUAAACCACCUACCUCAUUAUUAAGAGGGGACGAUGGUCGCGUAUCUAAAAACAACUCGAGCAAAAAAAGCUUUCAAAAAACUCAAGAACACCCUCAUUUCGACAGAAGUCAUUUUACAAUACCCAGAUUUCAAUAAAGAGUUUCAACUCACAGCAGAUGCCUCAAAUUUCGCAUUAGGAGCAGUUCUCGGACAAAAUUAAAAACCAAUAUCCUUCAUUUCGAAAGAAGAAAGCCAAAAAGAAGAAGAGAUCCUAAAGGUUCACAAUAGGGCCCACAGGAAUGCUGUAGAAAAUCAAAAACAACUCAUCGAAAAAUUAUAUUUUUCCAAAAAUGAAACAGAAAAGUUCCACUAUAGUAAAGCAGUGUCAGAUUUAUAAGGAAGUAAAAUACGACAGACACCCCACUAAUCCCGAAAUCGUGGAAACACCAAUACCAAUAUAUCCAGGUCACACUAUUCACAUUGAUAUUUAUUCCACAGAAAUUAGCCCAAGAAAGAAUCAUCAAAUCCAAAUCCUGCGGUAUAAACAUACUCUCGAGUACUUAUAUAUGCGGAAGAUGUUAAACUGUGUGUCCAGUAUAAGGACAUUUUAUUUCAUUCUCGCUUACAAUCCGAUCUCAAUAACUUUCAGUCAUGGUGUUGUGCUAACUUGUUAUGUUGGGUGUUUCCUUCAUUCUCCACUCAUCUCAUGACUAUAUUUGGUCAUGCGCUGGGCCACUGCCGGCCCGAUCCCGUCAUCCCGCUGCUCUCUAUUCGGGGUCCUCUCCUCUCAUCUUGGAUCUCCGAGACAGCUCCCCUCGGGAAUUCGCCGCAUCCGGAUAUCCCCGGAUAACGGCCGUUAGUCCUUAACCCUGUACCGCCCCCUGCGUGUGGGAAUACAUUUCCUCACACUUCCCCCUUUCUUUCAUUGGCGGAAAACCCCGAUGUUCCGCGUCCCGAAUCUAGGGAUGUUUCAAAAAUCACGCGCGAUCGGCGCCUUGUUCUCGAACCGGGUGCACCCUGGCGCCCUCCCUCGGCCUAACCAGGUUCGGUGUUGCCGUAUAUCCCCGCUGCGAGCGAUCGAUUUGUUCCUCCCUCGUCGAUAGCUCGUACGGCUGGCCACACCUCGCGCUUGAUGGGCUGCCACCGCGGGUUGUCCGCCGGUGAUCCCAUCUGGGGCCACGAUGCCUGACGCUGCAGUUCGGGCUGCACCUCCUGCUUGGUGGUGUGCGCGUCUCGUCCUGCCGCAUGGCUCUCGCGUUUCCCCUCCCUCGCGCGUUUUUUCGUCGGGGCCGGUUCCCAGCUCACCAAUUCGAGGUCGCUCUCUGCCUCGCUGCACCACGACGAUACCACUGGGGAUAUCGUCGGUCCCAUCGAUCCCGCGGUGGACACCAGCGGUGAGGCCAGAAGCUGCAGCUCUGGGGAUCCAUUUCUUCGUGCCCUUCUCCCUUCGCGCUCCAGCCGGUAUGCAUGUCGCUGGCUUUGGGUAUCGGCCGCAUAAAACCCGCGGCGCAUCAACUUGCGUUGUUCGGUCAGGUAACGCAUCAAAUGUUGCUGCAUCACACUUUUCCACUCACGUUUUCUUUUCAAAAAUAACUGAUCUCGUGCUGCCCCCGCCUUAUAAGGGCUCGUGCCGGUGCUCACCGUUCUAUGUAACGGUGCUUUACAUGGGCCCUUUGGACGGCUCUCUUUUGCCUUCCAGUUGGAUAUCUUGUUUGACCCCGUUUGAAAGUUAUCCGCGUCUCUCGCCGCGUUAACCCUAGGGUGCCCCGGGGUUUCGUUAGCUUUCCUCUUAUUCUUUUUGAUUUUGCUCGACGUCGUGUUGUUUGGCGUCGCCUUGAAUCUGGUAAGCCUCCCGAGUUCUUGGGUUCCUCAUCUCACCUUGCCUUCUCUUCUAGCCCGUCCUUUGGCCCCAGUCCAGGAUGCAGACCGAUCUUCCAGCUCGUGAUCAACAGGUCCUCCGACCUCUCGCCCGUGCUGCUAAACGUCGGCCCGCCCGCCCUACAAGCCAGGAAAAGCCAAUGUAGGAGCUGACUCUUUGUCCAGAAUCAAGGAGAUAAACUCCAUUACGACACAACAUAGUUCCUCCGAAAGGUUAAUUCAUAGUAUGGAAAUUCUAAUAAAUGCUUUUAAAAACCAAAUCUUUAUUAUUCCAGGAAACGAAAAUAAUUACAAAUUAAGUAUACCAUUUCCAACAUUUCAUCGACAUGAAAUUAAACAAAACACAUUCACCGAAGCUGAUUUAUUACAAAUAUUAAAAAAAUACCUUAAACCUUCCGUUAUUAAUGGAAUUCAAACAACCGAACACAUUAUGGGACAAAUCCAAAAAAAAUACCCAUCAAAUUUCUUCCAAUACAAAGUUAGAUUCACUCAAAGUAGAAGAUCUAAGUAAGGAAAGCCAACAAGAAGAAGAGAUCCUAAAGGUUCACAAUAGGGCCCACAGGAAUGCUGUAGAAAAUCAAAAACAACUCAUCGAAAAAUUAUAUUUUCCAAAAAUGAAACAGAAAAGUUCCACUAUAGUAAAGCAGUGUCAGAUUUAUAAGGAAGUAAAAUACGACAGACACCCCACUAAUCCCGAAAUCGUGGAAACACCAAUACCACAAUAUCCAGGUCACACUAUUCACAUUGAUAUUUAUUCCACAGAAAUUAGCCCAAGAAAGAAUCAUCAAAUCCAAAUCCUGCGGUAUAAACAUACUCUCGAGUACUUAUGUAUGCGGAAGAAGUUAAACUGUGUGUCCAGUAUAAGGACAUUUCAUUUCAUUCUGGCUUGCAAUGCGAUCUCAAUAACUUUCAGUCAUGGUGUUCUGCUAACUUGUUAUGUUGGGUGUUUCCUUCAUUCUCCACUCGCUUCAUAACGGGACCUGGCCGGGGGCGUGAUCUCAUGACUAUAUAUUUGGUCAUGCGCUGGGCCACUGCCGGCCCGAUCCCGUCAUCCCGCUGCUCUCUAUUCGGGGUCCUCUCCUCUCAUCUUGGAUCUCCGAGACAGCUCCCCUCGGGAAUUCGCCGCAUCCGGAUAUCCCCGGAUAACGGCCGUUAGUCCUUAACCCUGUACCGCCCCCUGCGUGUGGGAAUACAUUUCCUCACACUUCCCCCUUUCUUUCAUUGGCGGAAAACCCCGAUGUUCCGCGUCCCGAAUCUAGGGAUGUUUCAAAAAUCACGCGCGAUCGGCGCCUUGAUCUCGAACCGGGUGCACCCUGGCGCCCUCCCUCGGCCUAACCAGGUUCGGUGUUGCCGUAUAUCCCCGCUGCGGGCGAUCGAUUUGUUCCUCCCACGUCGAUAGCUCGUAUGGUUACUCUUGCGAUCCGCUCGAUAACGGGUAGGGUCGCUUUUCUGACUUACUCGAUACGACGUAGGGUUGCUUUUACGAUCCACUCGACAAAGGGUAGGGUCGCUUUUGUGAUUUACUCGAUACCGCGCAUCCCGCAGCGUGCGUACUCUAGUUCAGUCUCGCGAAUUGCUCAAUGGACUCGGAAAAGUCCUAUUUUCCUCGUUGUUCCGGUUUGUUUGUGUGUCCGAUUGCCCAUUUCGCCCAUCCGCUGGUGCGCUGGCCUUCCGGUGGCCUUCUCCCGCGCUUCCAUGCCCGGCCGCCUGGCCCCGGAUGCUUCGGGUAAGUUGUAUUCUCUCUUUCUCGCCUUCCGCCGCAUCCAUUCAUACUUUAUCGAUCAUUUCUAGCGAUGUCCCUCUGCUCUCCUGUUAAAAGGUAAAUACCAUGUUCUUUUUCUGUUUUGUGCGUUUGUUUUAUUUAUCAUUCAUUUUUUUUCCUCUUCUGUUUAGUGCGUUGCACGGAACACCUCCUGCCGGUCGGUGGACACCGAUAAGCGGUACGCCCCCGGUACGCCCCCGUCGUUGGCCAGGCGCUUCACCCUCCUCGACGUGGGUCUCAUCCGUGCGAGAGAGCGCGUGACGACGGCUGGCCACUCCUCGCGCUUGAUGGGCUGCCACCGCGGGUUGUCCGCUGGUGAUCCCUUCUGGGGCCACGAUGCCUGACGCUGCAGCUCGGGCUGGCGCGCCUCCGCCCGCUCCCCUGGGCACGACGUUUGUCGGCCUAGCUGUGGCCUCUUGGUCUGGCCGGGUUCCGGCCAUUGCCAGGGACCUCGCUCCCAUGGCUCAGGUGAGUGGUGUGCCUCUGUUGCCGCUUGUGUGUCUUCCAUCUCUUCCGCCGUCCUUGCACCAUCUUCUGCUACCGCCGCCCCCUCUGUCGUGUCGGGACUCGUCGCGUUCGCCGGCCUCUCCGCGUCGUCGUCUGCCGCCGCCGCCCUUCCCGUCGUUGUUGGCAUCGUUGCCUCGGGCGAAUCUUCGGGCAUCACCCCGGCUGUGGAUGCCGCCGCUGGGCCUUCCGCCUCCGGUGGCCGUCCUCGUUGCCUCGGAUCCCGCUCGUUGCUGGCGCGUGGAGCCUCCUCCCACAGCCGAGCCUCCUCCGUCUCUGUCUCGGGCUGCCGCGGCGCUGGCCCGGAGGCCCACGAUAUAUGCAGUGUCUGCACGUGCCAUAGCAUGCGAACGGCACGAGGGCGGCUCGCUACGGCCCUUGCCAGUGCUGCUGCUGCUGGCCUGCGUCUUCGAUCGUGGCCGUGCCUCCUGUGGGUCGGCCUGCCGUUGGUCUCCUUGCCGCGUUGUCGACCUCCCCCUUUUUCGCGCCGACGACUCCUCCUUCUCGGCCUGUCCCUUCGAGCUCGUGGAUGCCCGCUUCGAUGGCCGCCCCUCUCGCGUUUGCUGGCGCGUGGCUCCUCGCGCUUGGUGGAGUGGGGCUCCUCCCGUUUGCUGGCGCGGGGCUCCGCGCGUUUGCUGGCGCGGGAUUCCUCGCGUUUGCUGGCGCGGGACUCCUCGCGCUUGGUGGAGUGGGGCUUCUCGCGUUCGCUGGCGCGGGGCUCCGCGCGUUUCCUCUUGCUUGGUGGUGUGCGCGUCUCGUCCUGCCGCAUGGCGCUCGCGUUUCCCCUCCCUCGCGCGUUUUUUCGUCGGGGCCGGUUCCCAGCUCACCAAUUCGAGGUCGCUCUCUGCCUCGCUGCACCACGACAAUACCACUGGGGAUAUCGUCGGUCCCAUCGAUCCCGCGGUGGACACCAGCGGUGAGGCCAGAAACUGCAGCUCUGGGGAUCCAUUUCUUCGUGCCCUUCUCCCUUCGCGCUCCAGCCGGUAUGCAUGUCGCUGGCUUUGGGUAUCGGCCGCAUAAAACCCGCGGCGCAUCAACUUGCGUUGGCUCCAAUGCCCUGGACUCGGACCCGAGCUUCGGCUCAUCUUCGGAAUCCCACCUCCGAGACCACCUCGUCCGUCAACGCACCUCGCAACACGCUCCGUGGGGUAGUGGCGAUCGGGUAUCCCUUGUUUUCUUUGCCUUUGUCCAGUUUCUAACGGUUGAUGAGCUAACUCUUCCUUUUCUCUCCGUAGGUCCGGCUUUAUCCGUCCGCCUGCCGCCACCUGCUGCUUUAGUUUUAACAGCUUCUUAGUUUUACCGAUUUUAGUUGUAAGAGGAUUCCGGGUGGCCUUAUCCUGCGUGGCAUUAAGUUGGGCCACUCGUUCCCGCCCCUGUCGAUAGUCCCUGUCCUGCGUGACACGUCCACCUUUCUCUGUCUGCCUCGCCUGUUAUCCCGCCUUGUGUGUUGGCCACGACUUCGGUUCCAGGGCUUGUCCUAGGGGUUCCCUCACCGGACUGUGGCUUCAGGUCGCAUAUAUGGGCAGUCCGUGUACGUUUCUCGCUGUCCUUCCUCAAUUUACAGAUGACUGGUGACACGAAAUCCAUUAUUGUGUAGGGACCGUCAUACUUUGGGGCCAGUUUUGCGGCAAACCCUUCGGCGGCAUUGGACAGAUGGUGUUGCUUGGCCCAUACCUUGUCUCCAAUCCUGGGCUUGCACGCUCUCCUCUUCAGGUUAUAAUACCUCGCUUGGUCCUGCGCCGCUCUUUCGAGAUUCCGCCUCACCAGUUGAAAUAUUUCUCUUAACUUGGUCGAGUUCUCGUCCGGUGUGAGCGUGCCGUGCCCUGUACCGAGCACUUCUUCAUCAUAUAUGGCCUUUGGUAGCCUCGGCUCUCUCCCCUGGGCAACGAACGUUGGCGAGUACCCGGUGGACUCGGUCACCGCGGAGUUUACUGCCAACAUCACUUCUGGCCAUUUCUCAUCCCAAUUCCUCUGGUCCCCUUCGGUGAAUUGAGCUAUCACAGUCUUUACUGUCCGGUUAGUUCGCUCUGUCGGGUUUUCUCGACUGGUGAAUUAGACUCCAUUAUCCGUGAUCACCACCUUCGGCACGCCGAACCGUGACACGAUGCGUUCUCGGAACGCUUUCGUUAGUGCUUCCGCAGUGGCCUUCCUCAAUGGGACCAAUGACGUCCAUUUCGAGAAGUGGUCCACCAUCGCUAACAGCAUGGCAUUCCCAUGCUUUGACCUGGGAAGGGGGCCCACGAAGUCCGCACACACCGUCGCCCACGGCUCCUCUGGCACUUGUGUUAGCAUUUUGCCAGCCGCCUGCAGUUGACUCGGUUUUUAGCGUAUGCAGGCCUCACACUUUCUCACAUAUGUCCUCACAUCUCGGUGCAUCCCCGACCAGUAGUACCGGCCGGCUACUCUUUCCAUUGUCUUUUUAAUGUCUGCGUCACCCGCCUUCGGCGUGCUGUAGUUCUCUCCCAUGAUUCGUUCUCUUAGGCCCUUUGGGACGCAUAACUUCCACGAUGCUAUCUCCUCGUCUCCUGCUCGGUGCGGGAUAUGCCGAUAUACCCUGCCUGCCUCCUCUACGUAGUCAAGAUACCUCAUCGGCUCGUUUCUCAUCCUCUCCUUGACCUUUUUAAUCCAUCCGCACUCUGCCUCGGGUUCGUGUCCAGCCUCUGUUUCCUUUUCAGUGGUUCUCAGGCAUCGCUCCGCCUUUGGCUGUCGAGACAGUGCGUCCGCCACUAUGUUCAGCUGCCCCUUCCUAUAUACCACUUCGAAGUCGUAUUGUUGCAACUCCAGUGCUUACCUGGCGAUCCUCCCCGUUGGACUUUCGAUGCUGUUCAACCAUUUCAAUGCCACAUGGUCGGUGACCACCUUGAAACGGUAUCCCUCCAGAUAAGGCUUUAGCUUUCUUAUGGCCCAUACAAUGGCCAGGCAUUACUUUUCCGUCGCCGAAUAGUUCUUCUCUGCACUAUUCAGAGUUCUACUGGCGUAAGAGAUGACCUUUUCGCCCUUCUCCGUCUCUUGUGUUAGGAUCGCCGGAUCCGCUGUCAGCCGACUCUUUACGUCCUCGAACGCUUGCUGCUGUUUCGGCGUCCAUUCCCAUUUCGCCUUCUUCUUCAGCAACGCACUGCAGGGGGGCUGCACCAACGUGUCGAAUCCGUUCACGAAUCGUCUGUACCAGGAGGCUACGCCUAAGUAUCGUCGUAGUUCCUUGACAUUCGCCGGCGGCUGCAGCUCCGCAAUGGCCGCCACUUUCUCGGUGCAAAUUCCGUCUUCCGUUACCAAAUGCCCCAGGUAUCGCAAUUCUUUCCGAACAAAUUUUAAUUUUUCCACGCUUAGGCGCAGGUUUCCGUUUUUCAACCGUCGAAAAACUUCCUCUAGGUUUCGUUUGUGUCCCUUCUCUGUACGGCCGAUGACAGUGAUGUCAUCCUGGUACUUAGCCGACGCGGAGUGGAGUCCAAACGGCAUCACUUUAAAUUGGAACAGCCCCUUGCCGGGCACCGUGAACGCGGUGAACUUCCUACUGCUUUCCUCCAAUGGUAUCUGCCAAUACCCGUCCUUCAAGUCCAAGCUACUAAUGAACCGCGCCUCCCUGAGCUGGUCCAAAAUGUAAUCAAUUCUUGGCAUGGUGUAUGCAUCCUUGAUGGAUUUUGCGUUUAUCUGUCGGAAGUCCACGCAUAAUCUCCACUUUCCUGUCUUCUUCUUGACCAUCACGAUGGGCGCACUGUACGGGCUCCUUGAUGGCUCAAUACACCCUCUUUCCAGUAGUUCGUCCACCUGUUGGUUGAUUUCGGCUUGCAUCUUGGGAUUCUUGGGGUAGUAGCGUUGUUUGAUCGGCUGGGCAUCGCUCAUAGUGAUCGUGUGGGUGGCUAUGUUCGACACUCCCUUCAAUUUUCGGAAAUCCUCAAACUCGUUCGCCAGGAAUUCCUCGACCGAUCCCUCCUCCGCUCGCUAUCUGCCGGUCUCUGGCUCUGAGGCUUCUUCAGUGGACUCUAAGACCGCCACUGACAACUUCUCUUCCAACCGCCCAUUGCAGUGGCCUCUCGCAGGGAUCACAACCCUGUGCCCCGCACAGGUCACCUCUGCUCCGACCGCGGCGAUAAAAUCCCAUCCCAGGACAAGCGCAUCGAUCACUCCCGGGAACACGAGAAACGUGAUUGGGACCCUCUUGUCUCCGAAGGCCAGCUCCACCUCGAUCUGGCGAUUGACUUCACGGCAGCGUCCGUCAGCCAGCCGCACCAGCUUCCUUGUUUCUUUCUCUCGCCUCUCUCCCUCCAGCCUGCUCGCCAUUUCGCAGCGGUAUCGACCGUGGCUUUCCAGUCGCUGCCCGCGAUCCUCACCACCGCCGACAGCUGGACAUCCUCCACUGUGAGUUCUCCUACGAGUUUUGGGGGGCUGCGUCUUGCGACCCUGGCCCGGCCCUCCGCGGCUUGGGUCGCGGGGCGUUUCCCGCUUCCUGGCAGCACUGCCAGGUCAGGGCUCCUAUCUUGCCGCACCUCCAGCAGAACGUUAUCGGCCGACCAUUGCAUGCCUGUGCCCAAUGGCGGUCACUUCCGCACCGUCGCACAGUGGCGAUUUCGACGAAAAGAGGUGGCAAAAGUCUGAGAUUUUUUUUAGCGCUUUGGAUACAAGAGCUUUCAAAAAUCAAACCUUCAAAAAAUUCAGACUUUUAGUUUAGAAGAUAUGAGCACUCAAAGCUGAAAAUUUUUUCAGUGCGCACAAUUUUUUUAAACUUUUAUUCAAAUACUGCAUCUUUCAGGUGGAAAAAAAAGUUAACUAUGUAACGUAUGAUUCUGUUUUUGGUAUCUUUUAUAAGUUGCCUUAAUUCUUACGAAAACUUUUUAAAAAUAUGGUUAGUUGCAUAGGCAGUUGUUUAGAAAAGCUUGUUUUGCAAACCAUCUAAAAAUUAGGCUGUUUUUUAACUUUGACUGGACUUUUAAAAAAUAUUUAUCUAAAUUUUCCCGAGAUUUUUUUUUUAUAUGUUCCUUGAACUAUUUAUUACCUAAGUCUAAAAGCCCUUUCUGCGCUUCGGAGCCGUUCGGCUUCUAUACGUCUACCUUUUUCUACCUUAUUUCUACCUUUACCUGUCUUCUUUACCAGGUUUUGUAACCUGCUUUUUUAUAUGUCAAAGGGUGGUACCUACAUAUGUGUAUAUAUUGAAUUAAUUUUUAGCGCAGCUCUAUAGUCUUAUUUUGACUUUUAAAGGAUUCAGUUGCGUAUAAGCCAAAAUUAAUUAUCGGAUUAGUUAUUUAAAAAAUUAUUAGUUAUUUAGUAUCGGACAGCACAGAGCAGCAUACAAGUACAAGAAAGAAAAUUAUUUGUGUACAUUAAAAAGAAAUGGGUGAUCUCACACUGUAAGGUUGAAUCGUUUAAUAGCAAAUACGCAAGCUGGCUAAUUGGAAACAGCUUGCUAUAUGAUGGACCGUCCACGUCCACAGGACGAGCAAUAGGAAGACCAACAAAAACCCUGGAUAAGUGUUCAGAUUACACUAGAAAGCGAAAACUUUUAGAUGCAACAUGUCGUAUAGAUGCGGAUCAUUUAUCGGAGGCACUGUCAAUUAAAUAUACGAACAACAAGGAAAACAAGAGGGCGCAAAAGAAUAGCAUCAUCACGCCACCGAAUUCACAACCGAAGUCGUAUACCGAUGACGAGGCUUUGGCGUUGUUUUUAGACUUGGGAAUGUCUAAGGAGAAGUAUUUAAUACUGCGGUAUUCCUUACAGCAGCAUCAAGUCUAUGUUCUUCCUGAAUAAAAACAUAUUACAGAUGCCAAAUUGAUGGCAAGGCCGGAAGAAAACUUAGUGACGGUUGAAUCAGCAGUAGUAAAACUUCAAGACCUGCUGCAACAUACUACGAAACGGCUGAUUAAAAGCUUACCUCACCAUCAAAUUGACAGUCUGCCACCAAAUCUCACAUUGAUCAGCAAAUGGGGCUGUGAUGGAUCUUCUGGGCAAGGUGAAUAUAAGCAAGCAAUAUCUACAGACGAUAAAACUAUUACAGAUUCUAACAUGUUUAUGGCUUCUUUUGUACCACUGCGGCUUAAGUCGGAUACAUCGGAAUAUUGGAAAAAUCCUCGACCUUCGUCUGCUCAUUAUUGCCGUCCUAUAUUAUUCAAAUACGCCAAGGAAUCUUCGGAACUAAUAAAAUCCACUGUAAGUGAUAUUAAGAAUCAGAUUUCAAAUAUAAGACCGUUUGUACAUAAAGUCAACGAAGAAAAAUCCAUUAGUGUCAAUUUUUAAUUUUUCCUUACUAUGAUUGAUGGAAAAGUUCUUAACGAACUUACUAAUACUAAAUCGACCUUGAAAUGCGCAUUUUGGAAAAACACAGAAGGAAUCUCAAAAUUUGGAUGAUUGCAUAAUUGAAGAGGAAAAUUUAAAAUAUGGCAUUUCCCCAUUGCAUGCAAGAAUUAGAUGUAUGGAGUUAAUUUUAAAGCUUGCAUAUACCAUUCUGCGAGAGGGAGAAUGACAACAGCACGCCAGCCAACGAAAUACAAAAGACUAGGAAAAAAAUUAUUCAAGAAAAAUUCUUAGACAAACUAUCACUGAAGGUGGACUGCCCCAAACAAGGAUUUGGAAACACAAACGAUGGAAACUCAUCACGGACAUUCUUUGAGAAAAACGAAAUUACUGCAGAAAUAACUGGGGUGGAUAUUGACAUUAUCAAAAGAUUGGGUGUCAUUUUAAAUAUUUUAAACUGCAAAGAAAAAUUAAAUACCCGCAAGUUUGGUGAAUAUUCCUCGAAGACUGCAGAUCUGUUACUGGAAAAAUAUCCUGAAAAUAAGCUAACUCCCACGCUUCAUAAAAUUCUGGCACAUGGUCAAAUUUUAAUUGAACAUCAGAGCCUACCAAUUGGAGAGGAAGCCCUGGAAACAAGCAACAAAGAUUACAAAAAAUACAGGAAUAUGAAUACGUGCAAGACAUCACGAAUUAAGCAAAACCAAGACCUUUUCAACAUGUUGGCAGCCUCUUCAGAUCCAUAUAUUUCAUCCAUUAGACUUGUGAGAUCACAAAUUAAAUCGGAAAGUAGUUAUUCUUCAGAAAUUAUAAUAGUAAUAAUUAUAUAUAAUUAGAUAUUCCUCCCACUAAACAGGCAGUGGAGGAUAAUUUCACAGAAACAAAAAAAAAUUCAACCAACUUUCAGAUUACAAAAAAUAAUUUUUAUUUAAAUUUUUUAAUAUUAGGUUUAGUUGAAAAUUAAUUAAAAAAUAAUAUUUUAUAGUAAAAAAACUAUUGAUCAUUUCACAUAGGAAAAUAUGCACCGGCAACAAAGUUCAACUUUAACCCAUUAUUAUUACUGUGAAGCUUUUAGACACUGUAGCAUAAUUUACUUAAGCAGAUUAAAGUUUCAAAGAUUUGUCUUUCAAAUGCAGUUUGUUUCAUGAAGAUAUCUUUAUUUUUUCAGAAAUGAUUAAUUUAGCAAGCUGAAACGGCGGAAUUCGCCACUGUGCGGCGCUGGUUCGACUCUCGGUUCUCCUCCGCGUUUUUAGUGAGCGCGACCCACUUUGGACCCCCCCAAGGAGUCUCCAAUCGUGGCUCCGCCGGCUCUAACGACUGGGGCCAGCGAUUCUUGGCACGAAGCCCAAAUCGGCGCCUGACGCGUUCGCUCUCACUCGACUCACUUGGCUUUUCGGCACGAAAGUGUCUCACCCACUGUGAGGUGCACUCCCAACGUUACACCGUUGGUUCAAGGGAUUGGGACCUUUGGCUCGAGUCCGCCUCUCAAUCCUCACACAACGUGUUUGCUUUCCAAAGUUCUUCGUCUCUUGUUGGGUCUCACCCUUGUUGCUCACUUUUCACAUUUGCACUUGAUAGCUUUGCUGGCUGACUGUCCUCCUUCAUGGCCGUGGCCUUCCUCAUAUAGCCUCGCUUCAGCGUCGGCGUCGCUGACGCCGCCUGGCCGCCUGGAUUCAGUUGCGUAUAAGCCAAAAUUAAUUAUCGGAUUAGUUAUUUAAAAAAUGAUUAGUUAUUUAGUAUCGGACAGCACAGAGCAGCAUACAAGUACAAGAAAGAAAAUUAUUUGUGUACAUUAAAAAGAAAUGGGUGAUCUCACACUGUAAGGUUGAAUCGUUUAAUAGCAAAUACGCAAGCUGGCUAAUUGGAAACAGCUUGCUAUAUGAUGGACCGUCCACGUCCACAGGACGAGCAAUAGGAAGACCAACAAAAACCCUGGAUAAGUGUUCAGAUUACACUAGAAAGCGAAAACUUUUAGAUGCAACAUGUCGUAUAGAUACGGAUCAUUUAUCGGAGGCACUGUCAAUUAAAUAUACGAACAACAAGGAAAACAAGAGGGCGCAAAAGAAUAGCAUCAUCACGCCACCGAAUUCACAACCGAAGUCGUAUACCGAUGACGACGCUUUGGCGUUGUUUUUAGACUUGGGAAUGUCUAAGGAGAAGUAUUUAAUACUGCGGUAUUCCUUACAGCAGCAUCAAGUCUAUGUUCUUCCUGAAUAAAAACAUAUUACAGAUGCCAAAUUGAUGGCAAGGCCGGAAGAAAACUUAGUGACGGUUGAAUCAGCAGUAGUAAAACUUCAAGACCUGCUGCAACAUACUACGAAACGGCUGAUUAAAAGCUUACCUCACCAUCAAAUUGACAGUCUGCCACCAAAUCUCACAUUGAUCAGCAAAUGGGGCUGUGAUGGAUCUUCUGGGCAAGGUGAAUAUAAGCAAGCAAUAUCUACAGACGAUAAAACUAUUACAGAUUCUAACAUGUUUAUGGCUUCUUUUGUACCACUGCGGCUUAAGUCGGAUACAUCGGAAUAUUGGAAAAAUCCUCGACCUUCGUCUGCUCAUUAUUGCCGUCCUAUAUUAUUCAAAUACGCCAAGGAAUCUUCGGAACUAAUAAAAUCCACUGUAAGUGAUAUUAAGAAUCAGAUUUCAAAUAUAAGACCGUUUGUACAUAAAGUCAACGAAGAAAAAUCCAUUAGUGUCAAUUUUUAAUUUUUCCUUACUAUGAUUGAUGGAAAAGUUCUUAACGAACUUACUAAUACUAAAUCGACCUUGAAAUGCGCAUUUUGGAAAAACACAGAAGGAAUCUCAAAAUUUGGAUGAUUGCAUAAUUGAAGAGGAAAAUUUAGAAUAUGGCAUUUCCCCAUUGCAUGCAAGAAUUAGAUGUAUGGAGUUAAUUUUAAAGCUUGCAUAUACCAUUCUGCGAGAGGGAGAAUGACAACAGCACGCCAGCCAACGAAAUACAAAAGACUAGGAAAAAAAUUAUUCAAGAAAAAUUCUUAGACAAACUAUCACUGAAGGUGGACUGCCCCAAACAAGGAUUUGGAAACACAAACGAUGGAAACUCAUCACGGACAUUCUUUGAGAAAAACGAAAUUACUGCAGAAAUAACUGGGGUGGAUAUUGACAUUAUCAAAAGAUUGGGUGUCAUUUUAAAUAUUUUAAACUGCAAAGAAAAAUUAAAUACCCGCAAGUUUGGUGAAUAUUCCUCGAAGACUGCAGAUCUGUUACUGGAAAAAUAUCCUGAAAAUAAGCUAACUCCCACGCUUCAUAAAAUUCUGGCACAUGGUCAAAUUUUAAUUGAACAUCAGAGCCUACCAAUUGGAGAGGAAGCCCUGGAAACAAGCAACAAAGAUUACAAAAAAUACAGGAAUAUGAAUACGUGCAAGACAUCACGAAUUAAGCAAAACCAAGACCUUUUCAACAUGUUGGCAGCCUCUUCAGAUCCAUAUAUUUCAUCCAUUAGACUUGUGAGAUCACAAAUUAAAUCGGAAAGUAGUUAUUCUUCAGAAAUUAUAAUAGUAAUAAUUAUAUAUAAUUAGAUAUUCCUCCCACUAAACAGGCAGUGGAGGAUAAUUUCACAGAAACAAAAAAAAAUUCAACCAACUUUCAGAUUACAAAAAAUAAUUUUUAUUUAAAUUUUUUAAUAUUAGGUUUAGUUGAAAAUUAAUUAAAAAAUAAUAUUUUAUAGUAAAAAAACUAUUGAUCAUUUCACAUAGGAAAAUAUGCACCGGCAACAAAGUUCAACUUUAACCCAUUAUUAUUACUGUGAAGCUUUUAGACACUGUAGCAUAAUUUACUUAAGCAGAUUAAAGUUUCAAAGAUUUGUCUUUCAAAUGCAGUUUGUUUCAUGAAGAUA